RNAcentral lists this ribosomal RNA (366 nucleotides) under Conticribra weissflogii. RNAcentral describes it as "partial Eukaryotic large subunit ribosomal RNA". It matches the Rfam family "Eukaryotic large subunit ribosomal RNA", at positions 1014 to 1386 of the family's 3401-position model. Lineage: Eukaryota; Bacillariophyta; Thalassiosirophyceae; Thalassiosirales; Thalassiosiraceae. The record is from RNAcentral.
CGAAUGAUUAGAGGUUCGGGAGUUGUAACAACUUUCACCUAUUCUCAAACUUUAAAUUGGUAAGAACGCAGAGUUGCUUCAUUGAACUCUGUGCCGAAUGCGUGUUCCAUGUGGGCCAUUUUUGGUAAGCAGAACUGGCGACGAGGGUUCAACCUAAGGCAGGGUUGAGGCGACCAAUUGGCAGCUAAUGAGAUGAAAAGGUGUUAGUUCAUUUAGACAGUAGGACGGUGGCCAUGGAAGUCGGAACCCGCUAAGGAGUGUGUAACAACUCACCUACCGAAUGAACUAGCCCUGAAAAUGGAUGGCGCUAAAGCGGACUACUUAUACUCAGCCAUCAUGGCAAGUGCCAGGCCGUGAUGAGUAGGA